CAAUAGCGUAUAUUUAAGUUGUUGCAGUUAAAAAGCUCGUAGUUGGAUUUCGGAUGGGAUUUGCCGGUCCGUCGUUACGAUGUGCACUGGCCAGUCCUAUCUUGUUGUCGGGGACUAGCUCCUUGGAUUCACUUCCUGGGACUAGGAGCUGACGAGGUUACUUUGAGUAAAUUAGAGUAUUCGAAGCAAGCCUACGCUCUGAAUACAUUAGCAUGGAAUAACACGAUAGGACUCUGGCUUAUCUUGUUGGUCUGUGAGACCAGAGUAAUGAUUAAGAGGGACAGUCGGGGACAUUCGUAUUUCAUUGUCAGAGGUGAAAUUCUUGGAUUUAUGAAAGACGAACUUCUGCGAAAGCAUUUGUCAAGGAUGUUCUCAUUAA
This 379-nucleotide ribosomal RNA is filed under the name uncultured eukaryote. RNAcentral's name for it is "partial 18S ribosomal RNA". It matches the Rfam family "Eukaryotic small subunit ribosomal RNA", at positions 592 to 976 of the family's 1831-position model. The record is from RNAcentral.